GCCCUUAUAGUCUAGCCUGGACAGGACACGGGCUUCCGGAGCCUGGAACUGGGGUUCGAAUCCCCAUAAGGGCA
Molecule: transfer RNA, 74 nt
Filed under: Microcaldota archaeon
Lineage: Archaea; Nanobdellati; Microcaldota
Description: tRNA-Arg
Rfam family: tRNA
About the family: Transfer RNA (tRNA) molecules are approximately 80 nucleotides in length. Their secondary structure includes four short double-helical elements and three loops (D, anti-codon, and T loops). Further hydrogen bonds mediate the characteristic L-shaped molecular structure. tRNAs have two regions of fundamental functional importance: the anti-codon, which is responsible for specific mRNA codon recognition, and the 3' end, to which the tRNAs corresponding amino acid is attached (by aminoacyl-tRNA synthetases). tRNAs cope with the degeneracy of the genetic code in two manners: having more than one tRNA (with a specific anti-codon) for a particular amino acid; and 'wobble' base-pairing, i.e. permitting non-standard base-pairing at the 3rd anti-codon position.
Source: RNAcentral